Heterocephalus glaber (naked mole-rat) is the source of this 1165-nucleotide non-coding RNA. The record is from RefSeq and is a predicted model, not a curated record. Lineage: Eukaryota; Metazoa; Chordata; Mammalia; Rodentia; Bathyergidae.
GACCGACCGAGGGGAAGACCUCGGUCUUCUCAUGGCAGGGAAGUCCCCUUCUGGGUUCUCUGAUCCCCUCCUGCCCAGAGGGAUGAGGGAAACGAAUUAAGAAAAUCAAACUGAGUCACAGAGUUUUCAGAGACUGAAGAUUACUUUAACAGGACAUACUACCCGGCUGUGAAGUUCAGGAUGUGUGACCUUCAUUAUAUUUGUGAAGGCACAGAGAUGAACAGAUUGGCCAGAGGAACUGGAAUCCAGGGCAGUGGCCGACUUAGGAACAGGACUCAGGAAAUGAAAGGCGACCUUGGGAGACUUCCCUGUUGUCAGGAUAAUGGUAACAUGAUGAAGAAACUGAGGCACUGAGAAGUGGAAGGCCUUGCUUAAGGUCACAGUGACUAAGGGGUAAGCUGGACUUGGAAGCCGGGACCUUCAGAUGAUUCUAGGAACGAAGACCUCACUCCAGCCGCACUGUGGUAAUGCUCAUUUGCAUAAGCCGCAAAUUUGAAUGCACAUCAUUAUCUGCCCCUCUCCCAUCUUCCCACACUCUCUUCACUCCAAGCUUCCAGUUGGCUCAGCAGACUGACUCUGUUCUGGAUGUGACCAAUAAGGUGCCUUGUAGGACAGAGCCUUCGCUUCCUUGGAGUUGUGGAAAGCCAGGCAUGAGAUGUCUGGUUUAUCCCAUGCUUCCUGCAUGGUCCACGUUCUUCACCUAUAAGAUGAUCUCACUGGGCUCAUCCCUCCCCUCUGUGAGUCACUGCCUCUCAGCACUUGUCCAUUUCCCCUUCCCUUGGGGCUUUUUGGGCCUGCAAACCACAUCCCAUCUUCCUCCUCCAAUGUCUUCCCCCAAGAACUAGACGGACCGAGUGCAACUGUUUGCUGUUUAUUUCAAAGACCAGGGUCAAGGGGACCAUGGGCCACAGACAAGGGCUGGUCCUGAGCCCAGGAUGUGUCCGUUCCAGCCAGGAAGGCUCCUCAGGCUGUGUGUGUGACAUGUGUUUGUUACUGUGACUUCAUGUGGGUUCCCGGGGCUGGCAGUGACCUGGCAUGUGAAGCCCACAGAGACCAAGUGAAGUCCGGGGACAAGUGUGACUCCGACCCCCGGUGGGUGGCUGGGGGUGUGUGUGUGACGCUGCCUCUGAGCUGUGUGUUCUGUGUUUCCUCCGCUUGUCACAGA